GGUUGAUCCUGCCAGUAGUCAUAUGCUUGUUUCAAAGAUUAAGCCAUGCAAGUCUAAGUAUAAGCUAAUUUAUACGGCAAAACUGCGAAUAGCUCAUUACAACAGUUAUAAUCUACACGACGAUCAUUACCAUAUGGAUAUCCAUGGUAAUUCUGGAGCUAAUACAUGCUAAAACACCCGACUUUUUGGAAGGGUGGCAUUCAUUAGUGACUCAGAACCAAUCACUUCGGUGUUUCUGGUGAUCAUAAUGACGGAGCGGAUCGCAUUUAUGCGACAGUUCGUUCGAGUUU
RNAcentral lists this ribosomal RNA (290 nucleotides) under uncultured eukaryote. RNAcentral's name for it is "partial 18S ribosomal RNA". It matches the Rfam family "Eukaryotic small subunit ribosomal RNA", at positions 6 to 306 of the family's 1831-position model. The record is from RNAcentral.